RNAcentral lists this transfer RNA (60 nucleotides) under Clostridioides difficile DA00141. RNAcentral's name for it is "partial tRNA-Glu". It matches the Rfam family "tRNA", at positions 16 to 71 of the family's 71-position model. From Rfam's summary of the family: Transfer RNA (tRNA) molecules are approximately 80 nucleotides in length. Their secondary structure includes four short double-helical elements and three loops (D, anti-codon, and T loops). Lineage: Bacteria; Bacillati; Bacillota; Clostridia; Peptostreptococcales; Peptostreptococcaceae. The record is from RNAcentral.
AGGUUAAGACACCGCCCUUUCACGGCGGUAACAGGGGUUCAAUUCCCCUACGAGUCACCA